Molecule: small nucleolar RNA, 129 nt
Organism: Octodon degus (degu)
Lineage: Eukaryota; Metazoa; Chordata; Mammalia; Rodentia; Octodontidae
Source: Ensembl
AGGGUGUGCUCAGAGCAGGUGACCUGAAGAACAGUUCCUCAGUUUACAGCACACCCAACAGGAAUCCAGGGUCCACGUGACAAGGAACACUAAACCUGUGACUUCCCUUCAAGUGAAUGUCCUGCAUGU